This is a long non-coding RNA of Nothoprocta perdicaria, 1586 nucleotides long. RefSeq lists it as uncharacterized. The record is from RefSeq and is a predicted model, not a curated record. The transcript is spliced from 2 exons. NCBI's taxonomy places the organism in Eukaryota, Metazoa, Chordata, Aves, Tinamiformes, Tinamidae.
GGACUUUGCAGCCAAGACGGCCGCAGGGGUUGAGAGGAGGCYGCCCCAGCAUCUGCCCUGGCUUCCACCAAGCCCCCUCGUUUCCCCUGGGCUGAGCGAGUUUCUCAGCCCUCGAGGGGAACCCUGGAUGAGCUGCAGAAACCUGGCAAUGUGGAGUGUAACUGAAGUGAGAUGUGACUGUAACGUGUUUUCUCCCUCAACAAACAAGGGACUUCAGCUUUCUGAUCCGAAACAGCGAUAGCCACAGCCGUGACAGCCAGGGAUCAGCUACACCUCWUGAUUUGACACCGAUUUCAAUCAGUUUGAUCACCAUGCAGAUYCUUUGUUGUCAUCUUCAGGAAGCAUUUGCUCAUUAACGAAACAUACUUUCCAUUCCCAUUUUGAAAUCCAUGGAAAAUCCUGUCAGUGAGGAAAUGUGCGAGUAUUCUGCAGUCUUUCCCCAGCUUCUCCCUUCUAUUUUUUUUAUUUCUCACUUUGCCUCCAGUCUUCUCCUCUUCAGUAAAGGUUGGUCUUCUCCAYGGUUGUUCCCUAGCUCAUGUUCUUGAUAGGUUAAUAUAAACAAUCUCUAAAAUUACAGAUGUGGUAGUUCUGGCCUGGAUCAGGCCACAUUCGUUAUUUGUGUCAGCAGAUGGGGCUCCAAUGGACUUCUGCUCAUUGCCAGCACUCCACUUGACUCCCUGGCUGCGCAGCAGAGUCAUUACAUGAUGCAUGACAGUCCCCCAUGCUCAUACAUGCAUUUAAUUAUUUGUGCUUUUUCUGUUCUAUUGUUUCACUAUGGACUUGACUAACUGUAACAGUAGGACAAUGAACUGGCUAUGGUGUCCUCAGUAAAUCAGKAAUCGGUUAACUUCUAAACCAGAGAGUUUCUGCAGUGGAUCUAGGCUGCUGGGGGCUGCUAGGGAGCACAGUGCUGUUGGGACUCACUAAGGAGGGUGCAAAGAUCUAAAGAUCUGUCUUUUCCUCCCUCCUACCUAAUGCCCUUCACCACCUUCAGUAAAUCUCUUCCUACAGUGUGAUAAGAAUGACAUUAGAUUGAUGAACUGCUUAAAACGUGUAUUAUUAACCCAGUUGCAGCAUUUUGAACAUGCCUAACAUUAAUGUUGAAUGCCUGUAAAUAAGAUAUACAAUACCCAUUUCUUAUGGAAAUGCUGUUUGUGCAUAUUUCUUUGUCAGUGAACUAUUUCUCUGUAUUUGUCUAUCAGUCAUCCGUAAAUCUCAUGAAAGUGGUAAGUUAAUACUGAAAUUCUGUUAGGGCUACCUUUAAUUCUCACAAAUGCAUGAGCAAUUUUCUUACACACAGCAAGAGCCUAUCUGCAUACAGAAGUCCUAUUAACUCUAACAGCGGUUAUUCAAAGUUAAACAAAGGCAAGUAGAAGCCUGUGUGUUUAAAUUCCAACCAGUAUGGCUUAUCAGCAAAUUAAUGACUUACAAAGCCCAAACCAAUUCUGCUACAUUUAAUAUUCUACAACUGCAAACCAACAUGUUAUAUACAUUAAUCAAUUUGUCAUAAAUAGCCCCCUAUUUCAUAUACAAGCGAAUAAAAUGGACAAUCCACUGCAUAUUUUAUUCAUAAAGCAAUAUAUAAC